AACGAACGCUGGCGGCAUGCCUAACACAUGCCAGUCGAACGAGACCUUCGGGUCUAGUGGCGCACGGGUGCGUAACGCGUGGGAACCUGCCCUUAGGUUCGGAAUAACUCCCCGAAAGGGGUGCUAAUACCGGAUAAUGUCUUCGGACCAAAGAUUUAUCGCCUUUGGAUGGGCCCGCGUUGGAUUAGCUAGUUGGUAGGGUAAAAGCCUACCAAGGCGACGAUCCAUAGCUGGUCUGAGAGGAUGAUCAGCCACACUGGGACUGAGACACGGCCCAGACUCCUACGGGAGGCAGCAGUGGGGAAUAUUGGACAAUGGGCGAAAGCCUGAUCCAGCAAUGCCGGGUGAGUGAUGAAGGCCUUAGGGUUGUAAAGCUCUUUUACCCGGGAUGAUAAUGACAGUACCGAGAGAAUAAGCUACGGCUAACUCCGUG
Molecule: ribosomal RNA, 433 nt
Filed under: uncultured bacterium
Lineage: Bacteria
Description: partial 16S ribosomal RNA
Rfam family: Bacterial small subunit ribosomal RNA
Source: RNAcentral